UUUAUUUGAGAGUUUGAUCCUGGCUCAGGACGAACGCUGGCGGCGUGCCUAAUACAUGCAAGUUGAGCGAUGAAGAUUGGUGCUUGCACCAAUUUGAAGAGCAGCGAACGGGUGAGUAACGCGUGGGGAAUCUGCCUUUGAGCGGGGGACAACAUUUGGAAACGAAUGCUAAUACCGCAUAACAACUUUAAACAUAAGUUUUAAGUUUGAAAGAUGCAAUUGCAUCACUCAAAGAUG
Molecule: ribosomal RNA, 237 nt
Filed under: Lactococcus cremoris subsp. cremoris TIFN1
Lineage: Bacteria; Bacillati; Bacillota; Bacilli; Lactobacillales; Streptococcaceae
Description: Lactococcus lactis subsp. cremoris TIFN1 partial 16S ribosomal RNA
Rfam family: Bacterial small subunit ribosomal RNA
Source: RNAcentral